RNAcentral lists this ribosomal RNA (482 nucleotides) under uncultured bacterium. RNAcentral describes it as "partial 16S ribosomal RNA". It matches the Rfam family "Bacterial small subunit ribosomal RNA", at positions 28 to 523 of the family's 1533-position model. The record is from RNAcentral.
AGUGAACGUUGGCGGCGUGGAUUAGGCAUGCAAGUCGAGCGAGAACCGUAGCAAUACGGGGACAGCGGCGAAAGGGACAGUAAUGUGUAGGUACCUACCCCGAGGCCUGGGAUAGCUGCGGGACACUGCAGGUAAUACCGGAUAAUGCCGUCGGACCAAAGGUGUGUUUCCACCUUGGGAGGGGCCUGCAUCCUAUUAGCUAGUUGGCGGGGUAAUGGCCCACCAAGGCAACGAUGGGUAGCGGGUGUGAGAGCACGACCCGCGUCAUUGGGACUGAGACACUGCCCAGACACCUACGGGUGGCUGCAGUCGAGGAUCUUCGGCAAUGGGCGAAAGCCUGACCGAGCGACGCCGCGUGCGGGAUGAAGGCCUUCGGGUUGUAAACCGCUGUCGUAGAGGAGGAAAUGCAGGGGGGUUCUCCCUUCUGUUUGACCUAUUCUAGGAGGAAGGACGGGCUAAGUUCGUGCCAGCCGCCGCAGUAA